AGUAUAUAUAUAUGUAUGUGUGUGUGUGUGUGUGUGUGUGUGUAUAUAUAUAUAUAUAUACACACACACACACACACACACACACAUAUACACACA
This 96-nucleotide microRNA precursor is filed under the name Marmota monax (woodchuck). The record is from RNAcentral. Lineage: Eukaryota; Metazoa; Chordata; Mammalia; Rodentia; Sciuridae.